RNAcentral lists this ribosomal RNA (649 nucleotides) under uncultured bacterium. RNAcentral's name for it is "bacterial SSU rRNA". It matches the Rfam family "Bacterial small subunit ribosomal RNA", at positions 1 to 652 of the family's 1533-position model. The record is from RNAcentral.
CCCUUAGAGUUUGAUCCUGGCUCAGGAUGAACGCUAGCGGCAGGCCUAAUACAUGCAAGUCGAACGAGGUUAAGUAGCAAUAUUUAACUUAGUGGCGCACGGGUGCGUAACGCGUAUGCAACCUACCUUUUACUGGGAGAUAGCCCGGGGAAACCCGGAUUAAUACCGCAUAAUAUAUUUUGGUGGCAUCAUUAGAAUAUUAAAAUUACGAUGGUAAAAGAUGGGCAUGCGUCUGAUUAGCUAGUUGGUGAGGUAAUGGCUCACCAAGGCGACGAUCAGUAGGGGACCUGAGAGGGUGAUCCCCCACACUGGCACUGAGAUACGGGCCAGACUCCUACGGGAGGCAGCAGUAGGGAAUAUUGGGCAAUGGUCGCGAGACUGACCCAGCCAUGCCGCGUGAAGGAAGAAGGCUUUCUGAGUUGUAAACUUCUUUUAUCUGGGAAAAAACGACCCUUGCGAGGGGCACUGAUUGUACCAGAUGAAUAAGCACCGGCUAACUCCGUGCCAGCAGCCGCGGUAAUACGGAGGGUGCAAGCGUUGUCCGGAUUUAUUGGGUUUAAAGGGUGCGUAGGUGGCCCAUUAAGUCAGUGUUUAAAGUCAACAGCUCAACUGUUGGAAUGGCAUUGAUACUGAUGGGCUUGAGUAAAGU